This 1900-nucleotide long non-coding RNA is filed under the name Solanum tuberosum (potato). RNAcentral's name for it is "long non-coding RNA (STUB_LNC010163)". Lineage: Eukaryota; Viridiplantae; Streptophyta; Magnoliopsida; Solanales; Solanaceae. The record is from RNAcentral.
GAAAAUAUCUCCGUCAAUUUUGGAGGCCUUUACAUUGUAAAAGACGGAAAGUUAGUUUUAGUUCAUAUAUUUUGUUUGUUUAAAAUGGCCAAUGAAAAAAUCUCUCCGUCGAUUUUGGAGGCCUCCACAUUAUAAAAGAUGAAAAUUUAGUUUAAGUUUAUAUAUUUUGCAAGUUAAAAUGAUCAAUGAGAAAAUAUCUCCGUCAAUUUUGGAGGCCUUUACAUUGUAAAAGACGGAAAAUUAGUUUUAGUUCAUAUAUUUUGUUUGUUUAAAAUGGCCAAUGAAAAAAUCUCUCCGUCGAUUUUGGAGGCCUCCACAUUAUAAAAGAUGGAAAUUUAGUUUAAGUUUAUAUAUUUUGCAAGUUAAAAUGAUCAAUGAGAAAAUAUCUCCGUCAAUUUUGGAGGCCUUUACAUUGUAAAAGACGGAAAAUUAGUUUUAGUUCAUAUAUUUUGUUUGUUUAAAAUGGCCAAUGAAAAAAUCUCUCCGUCGAUUUUGGAGGCCUCCACAUUAUAAAAGAUGGAAAUUUAGUUUAAGUUUAUAUAUUUUGCAAGUUAAAAUGAUCAAUGAGAAAAUAUCUCCGUCAAUUUUGGAGGCCUUUACAUUGUAAAAGACGGAAAGUUAGUUUUAGUUCAUAUAUUUUGUUUGUUUAAAAUGGCCAAUGAAAAAAUCUCUCCGUCGAUUUUGGAGGCCUCCACAUUAUAAAAGAUGGAAAUUUAGUUUAAGUUUAUAUAUUUUGCAAGUUAAAAUGAUCAAUGAGAAAAUAUCUCCGUCAAUUUUGGAGGCCUUUACAUUGUAAAAGACGGAAAGUUAGUUUUAGUUCAUAUAUUUUGUUUGUUUAAAAUGGCCAAUGAAAAAAUCUCUCCGUCGAUUUUGGAGGCCUCCACAUUAUAAAAGAUGGAAAUUUAGUUUAAGUUUAUAUAUUUUGCAAGUUAAAAUGAUCAAUGAGAAAAUAUCUCCGUCAAUUUUGGAGGCCUUUACAUUGUAAAAGACGGAAAGUUAGUUUUAGUUCAUAUAUUUUGUUUGUUUAAAAUGGCCAAUGAAAAAAUCUCUCCGUCGAUUUUGGAGGCCUCCACAUUAUAAAAGAUGAAAAUUUAGUUUAAGUUUAUAUAUUUUGCAAGUUAAAAUGAUCAAUGAGAAAAUAUCUCCGUCAAUUUUGGAGGCCUUUACAUUGUAAAAGACGGAAAGUUAGUUUUAGUUCAUAUAUUUUGUUUGUUUAAAAUGGCCAAUGAAAAAAUCUCUCCGUCGAUUUUGGAGGUCUCUCCAUUGUUAAAAGAGAGAAAUUUAGUUUAAGAUUAUAUAUUUUGUAUGCUAAAAUGGCCGAUAAAGAAAUUACCGUCGAUUUCCAAGGCCUCCCAUUUUAAUAAGAUAUGUUUUUAUUUCUAAGUUAUUAUUUAUUUCAUUUAUUUUUAUUCGUAAUUAUUUACCACUAACACUUUUAUUAAGUGUCUUUACAGGUACCCCGUAGUCGCUUCUUAUCGAAGCCAUUUGAAUAAAGUUCGAAUACUAUAUUCAUUAUUAUGUAUGUUGUUGAUGAUAUGCAAAUGUUAUGUUGUUUCUCAUAUUGCUUGUUUACUUUAUCACUUGUGUAUAUUGCAUGUUUGUUAUACUUAUAUACUAUUUUCAUCUCCUCCUCAAUUUGAAAAAAUAAAUUCAGUCGGGACCCACAGUUGUGGAUUUCGAAGAAUGCCUAACUUCUUCCCUUCGAAAUAACCUGAACCCCUUACUUAGAAUCUAAUGGUUUCGUAGAUCAAUUAAUGGUUUCCUAGUUUUUUUUUAAAAUUAGGUGGCGACUCCUUUUAAAAUUUAUUUAUUCUUAAAAUUAUUUUAAAAUUGAAUCAAUUGAUUAUUUUUUAGUCACCGCGACGUUUCGCCCUAUUCAAAUAGAGUAGGGAUGUAAAUA